This 429-nucleotide ribosomal RNA is filed under the name Gemmatimonadota bacterium. Its description in RNAcentral is "Gemmatimonadetes bacterium partial 16S ribosomal RNA". It matches the Rfam family "Bacterial small subunit ribosomal RNA", at positions 355 to 776 of the family's 1533-position model. Lineage: Bacteria; Pseudomonadati; Gemmatimonadota. The record is from RNAcentral.
UAGGGAAUCUUCGGCAAUGGACGAAAGUCUGACCGAGCAACGCCGCGUGCGUGAAGAAGGUUUUCGGAUCGUAAAACUCUGUUGUUAGAGAAGAACAAGGACGUUAGUAACUGAACGUCCCCUGACGGUAUCUAACCAGAAAGCCACGGCUAACUACGUGCCAGCAGCCGCGGUAAUACGUAGGUGGCAAGCGUUGUCCGGAUUUAUUGGUCGUAAAGCGAGCGCAGGCGGUUUCUUAAGGCUGAUGUGAAGGCCCCCGGCUCAACCGGGGAGGGUCAUUGGAAACUGGGAGACUUGAGUGCAGAAGAGGAGAGUGGAAUUCCAUGUGUAGCGGUGAAAUGCGUAGAUAUAUGGAGGAACACCAGUGGCGAAGGCGGCUCUCUGGUCUGUAACUGAAGCUGAGGCUCGAAAGCGUGGGGAGCAAACAGG